CGCGGCCUAUCAGCUUGUUGGUGAGGUAACGGCUCACCAAGGCAUCGACGGGUAGCUGGUCUGAGAGGACGAUCAGCCACACUGGGACUGAGACACGGCCCAGACUCCUACGGGAGGCAGCAGUAGGGAAUCUUGCGCAAUGGGCGAAAGCCUGACGCAGCAACGCCGCGUGGGGGAUGAAUGCCUUCGGGUUGUAAACCCCUUUCAGCAGGGACGAAAAUGACGGUACCUGCAGAAGAAGCUCCGGCCAACUACGUGCCAGCAGCCGCGGUAAUACGUAGGGAGCGAGCGUUGUCCGGAAUUAUUAGGCGUAAAGAGCUCGUAGGCGGUUCGGUAAGUCGGGUGUGAAAACUCAAGGCUCAACCUUGAGACGCCACUCGAUACUGCUGUGACUUGAGUCCGGUAGAGGAGUGUGGAAUUCCUGGUGUAGCGGUGAAAUGCGCAGAUAUCAGGAGGAACACCAGCGGCGAAGGCGGCACUCUGGGCCGGUACUGACGCUGAGGAGCGAAAGCAUGGGGAGCAAACAGGAUUAGAUACCCUGGUAGUCCAUGCCGUAAACGUUGGGCACUAGGUAUGGGAUCAUAUCAACGGAUUCCGUGCCGUAGCUAACGCAUUAAGUGCCCCGCCUGGGGAGUACGG
RNAcentral lists this ribosomal RNA (639 nucleotides) under uncultured Actinomycetes bacterium. RNAcentral describes it as "bacterial SSU rRNA". It matches the Rfam family "Bacterial small subunit ribosomal RNA", at positions 232 to 885 of the family's 1533-position model. The record is from RNAcentral. Lineage: Bacteria; Bacillati; Actinomycetota; Actinomycetes.